Molecule: ribosomal RNA, 137 nt
Filed under: Vibrio parahaemolyticus
Lineage: Bacteria; Pseudomonadati; Pseudomonadota; Gammaproteobacteria; Vibrionales; Vibrionaceae
Description: partial 23S ribosomal RNA
Rfam family: Bacterial large subunit ribosomal RNA (bases 1-119)
Source: RNAcentral
UCCCUGAUUCUUUAAGUAUCCUAAAGGGUUGUCGGAGACUACGACGUUGAUAGGUCAGGUGUGUAAGUGCUGUGAGGCAUUGAGCUAACUGAUACUAAUUGCCCGUGAGGCUUAACCAUACAACACCCAAGGGGUUU